This 1234-nucleotide ribosomal RNA is filed under the name metagenome. RNAcentral describes it as "bacterial LSU rRNA". It matches the Rfam family "Bacterial large subunit ribosomal RNA", at positions 1564 to 2808 of the family's 2925-position model. The record is from RNAcentral.
UGAAUACGAGAUGCUAAGGCGUCGAAGUAGUGUAUGUCAUACUUCCAAGAAAAGCUUGCACUGUCAUAAAUAAAAUAUGCCUGUACCAUAACCGACACAGGUGGGUAAGUAGAGUAUACUAAGGGGCGCGAGAUAACUCUCUCUAAGGAACUCGGCAAAAUAACUCCGUAACUUCGGGAGAAGGAGUGCCUUAUUCUUAAGGUUGCAAUAACAAGAUCCAAGCAACUGUUUAUCAAAAACACAGGUCUCCGCUAAGUCGUAAGACGAUGUAUGGGGGCUGACGCCUGCCCAGUGCCAGAAGGUUAAAGAAGUUGGUUAGCAAUUGCGAAGCUGGUAACUGAAGCCCUGGUGAACGGCGGCCGUAACGAUAACGGUCCUAAGGUAGCGAAAUUCCUUGUCGGGUAAGUUCCGACCCGCACGAAAGGCGUAAUGAUUUGGAUGCUGUCUCGGAGAGGGGCUCGGUGAAAUAGACUUGUCUGUGAAGAUGCGGACUACCUGCACCAGGACAGAAAGACCCUAUGAAGCUUUACUGUAACUUGAAAUUGAAAUUGGACUUUAUUUGCGCAGUAUAGGUGGGAGGCGUUGAUUAUAAUCUUGCGGGAUUAUUGGAGCCAUCAGUGAGAUACCACUCUUGUAAUGUUAGAUUUCUAACUUUGAAUCAUUAUCUGGUCAAAGGACAAUUUCAGGCGGGCAGUUUGACUGGGGCGGUCGCCUCCUAAAUGGUAACGGAGGCGUACAAAGGUUUCCUCUGAACGGUUAGAAAUCGUAUCUAGAGUGUAAAGGCAUAAGGAAGCUUGACUGUGAGACCUACAAGUCGAGCAGGGACGAAAGUCGGUCUUAGUGAUCUGACGGUACUGAGUGGAAAGGCCGUCACUCAACGGAUAAAAGUUACUCUAGGAUAACAGGCUGAUCUCCCCCAAGAGUUCACAUCGACGGGGAGGUUUGGCACCUCGAUGUCGGCUCAUCGCAUCCUGGGGCGGUAGUACGUCCCAAGGGUUGGGCUGUUCGCCCAUGAAAGCGGUACGCGAGCUGGGUUCAGAACGUCGUGAGACAGUUCGGUCCAUAUCCGGUGUAGGCGUUAGAAUAUUGAGAGGAGCCUUCUUUAGUACGAGAGGACCGAGAAGGACAUACCUCUGGUGUACCAGUUAUCGUGCCAACGGUAAACGCUGGGUAGCUAUGUAUGGAGUGGAUAACCGCUGAAAGCAUCUAAGUGGGAAGCCCACCUCAAGAUAAG